UCCGUAGGUGGAUAAUUAAGUUAGUGGUGAAAGUCUGCAGCUCAACUGUAGAAUUGCCCUUAAUACUGGUUAUCUUGAAUUAUUGUGAAGUGGUUAGAAUAUGUAGUGUAGCGGUGAAAUGCAUAGAUAUUACAUAGAAUACCAAUUGCGAAGGAAGAUCACUAACAAUAUAUUGACACUGAUGGACGAAAGCGUGGGGAGCGAACAGGAUUAGAUACCCUGGUAGUCA
Molecule: ribosomal RNA, 229 nt
Filed under: uncultured bacterium
Lineage: Bacteria
Description: partial 16S ribosomal RNA
Rfam family: Bacterial small subunit ribosomal RNA
Source: RNAcentral